RNAcentral lists this long non-coding RNA (291 nucleotides) under Oryza brachyantha (malo sina). RNAcentral describes it as "long non-coding RNA (OBRA_LNC002762)". The record is from RNAcentral. Lineage: Eukaryota; Viridiplantae; Streptophyta; Magnoliopsida; Poales; Poaceae.
CUAUUCAGCGAUUAUCCACUGCUAUACGAAAGGACACACGUGACAUAAAUGUGGAGCGUAGGUGCUUUGUGAAUAAGAAUGAAAAUAAGUGAAAGGUGGAGGGGUAAUAAAGAAAAGGGAAGGCAGAGUGAGUUGAGGUUGAGGCAAAGGCAGCAGCAAGGCAGAGCACCCACUAAAAUCGGGCAGGAGGAGGAACCAACGCCUUCUUCUUCUUCUUCAGAUCAGAUCUCUCUCUCUCCAUCCACCCGGACCGACCCAUCCACCCGGUCGCCGCCGCCGCCGUCUCCCUCC